Molecule: ribosomal RNA, 498 nt
Filed under: uncultured bacterium
Lineage: Bacteria
Description: bacterial SSU rRNA
Rfam family: Bacterial small subunit ribosomal RNA
Source: RNAcentral
GAUGAACGCUGGCGGCGUGCCUAACACAUGCAAGUCGAGCGAGAUGUAUAUGGACGAAACUUCGGUCUAGGAAAUAUAUUGACAGCGGCGGACGGGUGAGUAACGCGUAGGCAACCUGCCCCAAACACAGGGAUAGCCUCGGGAAACCGGGAUUAAAACCUGAUAAUGCCAGAGAGUCACAUGGCUCGCUGGCCAAAGAUUUAUCGGUUUGGGAUGGGCCUGCGUCUGAUUAGUUUGUUGGUGGGGUAACGGCCUACCAAGACUACGAUCAGUAGCCGACCUGAGAGGGUGAUCGGCCACAUUGGAACUGAGACACGGUCCAAACUCCUACGGGAGGCAGCAGUGGGGAAUAUUGCACAAUGGGCGAAAGCCUGAUGCAGCAACGCCGCGUGAGCGAUGAAGGCCUUUGGGUCGUAAAGCUCUGUCCUUGGGGAGAAAAAUGACGGUACCCAAGGAGGAAGCCCGGCUAACUACGUGCCAGCAGCCGCGGUAAUCUGU